AGAUUGAACGCUGGCGGCAUGCCUAACACAUGCAAGUCGAACGGGAGUAGCAAUACUCUAGUGGCGGACGGGUGAGGAAUACGUAGGAAUUUGCCCUUAAGUGGGGGAUAACCCGGGGAAACCCGGAUUAAUACCGCAUGACCUCGAAAGAGCAAAGUGGGGGAUCGCAAGACCUCACGCUUUUGGAGAAGCCUACGUCGGAUUAGCUAGUUGGUGAGGUAAUGGCUCACCAAGGCGACGAUCCGUAACUGGUCUGAGAGGAUGAUCAGUCACACCGGAACUGACGACGACGGUCCGGACUCCGUACGGGAGGCCAGCGA
This 320-nucleotide ribosomal RNA is filed under the name uncultured soil bacterium. RNAcentral's name for it is "bacterial SSU rRNA". It matches the Rfam family "Bacterial small subunit ribosomal RNA", at positions 26 to 354 of the family's 1533-position model. The record is from RNAcentral.